Molecule: ribosomal RNA, 562 nt
Filed under: uncultured bacterium
Lineage: Bacteria
Description: bacterial SSU rRNA
Rfam family: Bacterial small subunit ribosomal RNA
Source: RNAcentral
CCUACGGGAGGCAGCAGUGGGGAAUAUUGCACAAUGGGGGAAACCCUGAUGCAGCGACGCCGCGUGAAGGAAGAAGGUUUUCGGAUCGUAAACUUCUAUCAGCAGGGAAGAAGAAAGACGGUACCUGACUAAGAAGCCCCGGCUAACUACGUGCCAGCAGCCGCGGUAAUACGUAGGGGGCAAGCGUUAUCCGGAAUCACUGGGUGUAAAGGGUGCGUAGGCGGUGAGGUAAGUCAGAUGUGAAAGCCCGGGGCUCAACUCCGGGAUUGCAUUUGAAACUGCUUUACUAGAGUGCAGGAGAGGAAAGUGGAAUUCCUAGUGUAGCGGUGAAAUGCGUAGAUAUUAGGAGGAACACCAGUGGCGAAGGCGGCUUUCUGGACUGUAACUGACGCUGAGGCACGAAAGCGUGGGGAGCGAACAGGAUUAGAUACCCUGGUAGUCCACGCCGUAAACGAUGUCAACUAGACGUUGGGGGGUUUAACCCUUUAGUGUCGCAGCUAACGCGAUAAGUUGACCGCCUGGGGAGUACGGCCGCAAGGUUAAAACUCAAAUGAAUUGACGG